AAGCGCAAGGAGGGGAUCUCGCGAGACCUGUGGUGCGGGUCGCAGAAGCUCGCUCGCUCGCUACGACCCUUGAGUGCCUUACCUGUGGGCCCUCAUUCGCGUGACAUCUGAGAUCAAUAAACGUUAAAAGUGAAUGUUUUUCAGAUCACCCGACCAUCCCCAGAGCAUAGACGGACCCGGGAAGAGCACUUAGGUUCAUUGCAAUGUUCCUGAAGGAGGAAGGGACUUGUCCAAGGUCACACAGCUCCACAGUGGCAAAGCUGGGACUUCCCUGAAGUCGAGAGUUUCGUCAAAUCCCUCCCUGGAAGCCGCGUGGCAACAGCCUGGGCACCUGCGGGAAUGUGGUUGUACAAGCACGCCGCAGGCAUCCCUGAGAUGGUGUUUCCGACGAAGGCCUCAGCUAAGAGACAGUUUGACUGUCUCAGCCACUGGCAUGUCAGGAGAAGUGCUCUGCUUGGUAAAUUGUUACAAGGACCUUGAAGAUCAUUGAUUAAGAGAGGAGAAACUGGAGCCCCUAAGGAAAAGGAUCUUGCCAAAAGUCACACAAUAGAUCAGCAGCAAAACUUGUACUGCCUCAUCUGCUGAGUAGAGGCUGGACCCAUAGGGCAGGGUCACCAUGGACCUAGUGAGUCAAAGGAGGGAAAAGCUGUGUCCAGUCGCCCAAGAUGCAUAGGUUUUAGGUUGAAGGUGAAGAGGAAGAGUCCAAAGUCCUAAAUCUUUUCUUCCUGAGAACUGAGAUGGGAGAGGGCUUCCCUGGUGGUGAAGAAUCCGCCUGCCAAUGCAGGGGACACGGUUUUGAGCCCUGGGCCAGGAAUAUCACACAUGCUGCAGAGCAACUAAGCCCGUGUGCCACAACUACUGAGCCUGCGCUCCAGAUCCCACGAGCCACAACUACUGAGCCCACGUGCCACAACUACGGAAGCCCGAGCGCCUAGAGCCUGUGCUCCGCAACAAGAGAAGCCACUGCAAUGAGAAGCCCGCGCACCACAAUGAAGAGUAGCCCCCGCUCGCCGCAACUAGAGAAAGCCCGGGCGCAGCAACGAAGAUCCAAUGCAGCCAUAAAUAAAUAAGUAAAAUUAACAAAUUUAAAAAAUGUAUAUUGCUAUAGUGAAAAAAAUAUAUUGCUAUAGUGGAUAUUCUGUAGUUGAUCUUUGUACAACUCUAAGAGGGCUUUUUGGUAUAAAUUCCUAGGAAUGAAAUUGCUAUAUCAAAGACUGAUCAGAUUUUUGCAUCUAUGUUCAUGAGGGAUAAGGGUUUAUAAUUUUCUUUUUUUGUAAUAUCUUUGUCAACUUUUCAUACCAACGUUAUUCUGGCCUCAAAAAAUAAAUUGGAAAGUGUUCCUCCUCUAUGUUCUGCAUGAGUUUGUGUAGGAUUUUUUUUUUCUUCAUUAAAUAAUUAUUUGAUAGAAUUCACCAGUGAAGCCAUCUGACCCUGGAGUUUUCUUUGCAGAAAGAGUUUGAUAAUAAAUU
Physeter macrocephalus (sperm whale) is the source of this 1469-nucleotide long non-coding RNA. RefSeq lists it as uncharacterized. Lineage: Eukaryota; Metazoa; Chordata; Mammalia; Artiodactyla; Physeteridae. The record is from RefSeq and is a predicted model, not a curated record. The transcript has 3 exons.